UACGGAGGGUGCAAGCGUUAUCCGGAUUCACUGGGUUUAAAGGGUGCGUAGGAGGGCAGGUAAGUCAGUGGUGAAAUCUCCAAGCUUAACUUGGAAACUGCCGUUGAUACUAUCUGUCUUGAAUACCGUGGAGGUGAGCGGAAUAUGUCAUGUAGCGGUGAAAUGCUUAGAUAUGACAUAGAACACCAAUUGCGAAGGCAGCUCGCUACACGAAUAUUGACUCUGAGGCACGAAAGCGUGGGGAGCAAACAGG
This 253-nucleotide ribosomal RNA is filed under the name uncultured bacterium. RNAcentral describes it as "partial 16S ribosomal RNA". It matches the Rfam family "Bacterial small subunit ribosomal RNA", at positions 524 to 776 of the family's 1533-position model. The record is from RNAcentral.